GGAAAAUAUGAUUGAUGCUCAUUUAACUUGAUUCAAUUGCAUGUCUAGAUUGGUAGAUGCUUAAUAAUAGAAUUCAACGUGUGUGCAUAUAUAUCUUCUUUAUUUCAUUCAAGUAAUUUACAGGUGGUAGAUGAAGGUCGAUCGACUUUGAAGAAUUUUUUAGGUAAAGGUUAGGUUUAAUUGUAUUAUUACACCUUAUCCGUAUAAAUUUGUAGCAUCUUAAUCUUUCCAGCUACCAACAUGAAACUUUGUUCGAAUAUUCGGUAAAUCUUUUUAGCUAUCAACGUAGAACUUUAUUCAAACAUUUAGUAAAUCUUUUUAGCUAUCAAUGUGAAACUUUGUUCGAACAUCCAUUAGCAAGAACUUUCUCCAAUUCCUCAGCACGAAAAGUAAUAGAACAAACACAAAUAACAUUUGUAAAAUAAUUUAGACACAUCACACACAACUUUAGUUUCAGGUACUAUUCUAGUAUUUUCUUUGUAACAACUUGUAAGCACUAGUGGCAAGUUCGCACAAUUAUCCCCAAACAACCUUACACCUUAUACAUAUAAAUUUGUAGCAUCUUAAUCUUUUCAGCUAUCAACAUGAAACUUUGUUCGAAUAUCCAGUAAAUCAUUCCAGCUACCAACGUGAAACUUUAUUCGAACAUCCAGUAGCAAGAACCUUCUCCAAUUCCUUGGCACGACAAGGAAAUUCAAGAACACCUUCAUACCUAAAUCCAUAUUCAUCUUCAGCUUUCUUCAAUAAUUCNNNNN
RNAcentral lists this long non-coding RNA (755 nucleotides) under Capsicum annuum. RNAcentral's name for it is "long non-coding RNA (CANN_LNC014985)". The record is from RNAcentral. Lineage: Eukaryota; Viridiplantae; Streptophyta; Magnoliopsida; Solanales; Solanaceae.